AUUGAACGCUGGCGGCAUGCCUUACACAUGCAAGUCGAACGGCAGCACGGGUGCUUGCACCUGGUGGCGAGUGGCGAACGGGUGAGUAAUACAUCGGAACAUGUCCUGUAGUGGGGGAUAGCCCGGCGAAAGCCGGAUUAAUACCGCAUACGAUCUACGGAUGAAAGCGGGGGACCUUCGGGCCUCGCGCUAUAGGGUUGGCCGAUGGCUGAUUAGCUAGUUGGUGGGGUAAAGGCCUACCAAGGCGACGAUCAGUAGCUGGUCUGAAAGGACGACCAGCCACACUGGGACUGAGACACGGCCCAGACUCCUACGGGAGGCAGCAGUGGGGAAUUUUGGACAAUGGGCGAAAGCCUGAUCCAGCAAUGCCGCGUGUGUGAAGAAGGCCCUCGGGUUGUAAAGCACUUUUGUCCGGAAAGAAAUCCUUGGCCCUAAUACGGUCGGGGGAUGACGGUACCGGAAGAAUAAGCACCGGCUAACUACGUG
This 486-nucleotide ribosomal RNA is filed under the name uncultured bacterium. Its description in RNAcentral is "partial 16S ribosomal RNA". It matches the Rfam family "Bacterial small subunit ribosomal RNA", at positions 30 to 507 of the family's 1533-position model. The record is from RNAcentral.